RNAcentral lists this ribosomal RNA (428 nucleotides) under Verrucomicrobiota bacterium. RNAcentral describes it as "Verrucomicrobia bacterium partial 16S ribosomal RNA". It matches the Rfam family "Bacterial small subunit ribosomal RNA", at positions 355 to 776 of the family's 1533-position model. The record is from RNAcentral. Lineage: Bacteria; Pseudomonadati; Verrucomicrobiota.
UAGGGAAUCUUCCGCAAUGGACGAAAGUCUGACGGAGCAACGCCGCGUGAGUGAAGAAGGAUUUCGGUUCGUAAAACUCUGUUGUUAGGGAAGAAAAAAUGUAUAGUAACUAUAUACAAAAGAGACGGUACCUAACCAGAAAGCCACGGCUAAAUACGUGCCAGCAGCCGCGGUAAUACGUAUGGGGCGAGCGUUGUUCGGAAUUAUUGGGCGUAAAGGGUACGUAGGCGGUCUAUUAAGUCAGGUGUGAAAGCGUGAGGCUUAACCUCAUUAAACACUUGAAACUGAUAGACUUGAGUGAAGGAGAGGAAAGUGGAAUUCCUAGUGUAGCGGUGAAAUGCGUAGAUAUUAGGAGGAAUACCGGUGGCGAAGGCGACUUUCUGGGCUUUUACUGACGCUCAGGUACGAAAGCGUGGGGAGCAAACAGG